AUAGUAAAACAGAAUACAGGAGAGAUGACUUAAAACUACAGAGAGAGAGAGAGAGAGAGAGAGAGAGAGAAUAGUAAAACAGAAUACAGGAGAGAUUACUUAAAACUACAGGGAGAGAGAGAGAGAGAGAGAGAGAGAGAGAGAGAGAGAGAAUAGUAAAACAGAAUACAGGAGAGAAGACUUAAACUACAGAGAGAGAGAGAGAGAGAGAUAAGAAUAGUAAAACAGAAUACAGGAGAGAAGACUUAAACUACAGAGAGAGAGAGAGAGAGAAUAAGAGAGAGAGAGAGAGAUAGUAAAACAGAAUACAGGAGAGAAGACAUAAACUACACAGAGAGAGAGAGAGAAUAGUAAAACAUAAUACAGGAGAGAAGACUUAAAC
Oncorhynchus tshawytscha (Chinook salmon) is the source of this 382-nucleotide long non-coding RNA. The record is from Ensembl. NCBI's taxonomy places the organism in Eukaryota, Metazoa, Chordata, Actinopteri, Salmoniformes, Salmonidae.